CCUACGGGAGGCAGCAGUGGGGAAUAUUGCACAAUGGGGAAACCCCGAUGCAGCGACGCCGCGGGAGUGAAGGAGUAUUUCGGUACGUAAAGCCUUAUCAGGAGGGGAGGAAAUGACAGUACCUGAGUAAGAAGCCCCGGCUAACUACGUGCCAGCAGCCGCGGGAAUACGUAGGGGCCAAGCGUUACGCGGAUUUACUGGGUGUAAAGGGAGCGUAGGCGGGGCGCCAGGUCUGGAGUUAAAGGCCUGGGCUUAACUGCGGAACUGCCUUGGAAACUGGCGGACUGGAGAGCGGGAGGGGUAAGCGGAAUGCCUAGUGUAGCGGUGAAAUGCGUAGAUAUUAGGAGGAACACCGGUGGCGAAGGCGGCUUACUGGCCCGUAACUGACGUUGAGGCUCGAAAGCGUGGGGAGCAAACAGGAUUAGAUACCCGUGUAGUC
RNAcentral lists this ribosomal RNA (439 nucleotides) under uncultured bacterium. Its description in RNAcentral is "partial 16S ribosomal RNA". It matches the Rfam family "Bacterial small subunit ribosomal RNA", at positions 338 to 795 of the family's 1533-position model. The record is from RNAcentral.